RNAcentral lists this ribosomal RNA (303 nucleotides) under uncultured bacterium. RNAcentral describes it as "bacterial SSU rRNA". It matches the Rfam family "Bacterial small subunit ribosomal RNA", at positions 503 to 793 of the family's 1533-position model. The record is from RNAcentral.
CCGUGCCAGCAGCCGCGGUAAUACGGAGGGUGCGAGCGUUAAUCGGAAUUACUGGGCGUAAAGACGCAUGCAGGUGGUUUGUUAAGUCAGAUGUGAAAGACCCGGGGCGUCAACCUCGGAAUAGCAUUUGUAAACUAGGCAGACUAGAGUACUGUAGAGGGGGGUAGGAAGUUUCAGGUGUAGCGGUGAAAUAGCGUAGAGAUCUGAAGGAAUACCGGUGGCGAAGGCGGCCCCCUCGGACAGAUACUGACACUCAGAUGCGAAAGCCGUGGGGACGCAAACAGGAUUAGAUACCCCUGGUAG